This is a long non-coding RNA of Bos taurus (domestic cattle), 1109 nucleotides long. NCBI's taxonomy places the organism in Eukaryota, Metazoa, Chordata, Mammalia, Artiodactyla, Bovidae. The record is from Ensembl.
CUGCCUUCCUCCAGCCCUGCCUCGUCCUUCCUCUGAGUCUCUUUGGGAUCGAUGAGGCAGCCCCAGCUCUGGGCAUCCGGGAGCUUGUCUGUACCCCGCCCUCACCCUUGUUUGGGAUUUCUGGAAGUCUGGCUUGACCGGCAGAAGGGGUCAGUUGUCUGCAGAGUAGCUGGGUGGUGAACGAGUGCGUCUUGCUGGGACGAACAGAGCAGCAUGAUCUGGGUUCCUCUCAGAGAUGCUGUUGAGCCCACAGUUUGUGUGGUUCUGGGACUGUAAGUGCUGAUGGACAUGACGUGACCCUGGGCUUGUCAGCGAGCCACCGCCAGGCUGCUUAUUGGAAACCAGAUGCAGGAAGGGAGAUAGGAUCCCGCCACCUCCCUGCCUCCCAGUGAGUUACUUUCUUCCUCUAGGCCCUCAUUGCCUUUACUUAAAAAAAAUAAUCCUGGCCCAGUGAGCCAUUGCAAAGCAUCUCCAGGCAGUUGACGUAGGAAUGUUUUUCUCGCUGCUGCACUAGAUACUGGUCACAAUAAUAGCGAUGAUGAUUAAAAAGGAUGAGGCCUACGGAACUGGGAGGUCUGUCACUUGAUGGAGAUGGUGCAGACUGAGGCUCUGUGCACAUUCUCAGGAGAUCUCUCUCCUGUCGAGUCGAUUCCUGCCCUGUUUGGGCCAGUAGGGCCGGAUGGAGUGAGCUGACAGCCGAUCGUCUGGGGUCUCAAGACCAAAGGGAUGGUGCUGGGGAAUUUUAUGAUGUUCUCGGAUGAUAUCACGAGGCCCCUGUGGGAUCCCAGUUCUUCUCUUGUGCCUCAUGGACACGGGUGGUGUUUCUGCCCCCACUCCCCCGCCCACCCCUUUCCCCGGGAAGUCUGCUGCCUGCUGCCUCCCAGCGUUUCAUCUUCGCCUCUUCCCAUCUGAGAAGAGACUCUGAGUUGGCCACGAGCAGCCUGGAAUCCUUGCUGAGCGGAUUUGGAAGAGUCCGCUGUGUCUUCCUUCAAGGAAUCUGAAGCCUCAGCCCCUCUGGCAGGAAUGGAGUGAGGGAUGGCUAGGGGUGUUGGACCUGGAACAGGAAUAAAGCAGACAGAGCAGCUCUGGUGCAGCUGGGGAGAUGAAGC